Molecule: long non-coding RNA, 463 nt
Filed under: Sus scrofa (pig)
Lineage: Eukaryota; Metazoa; Chordata; Mammalia; Artiodactyla; Suidae
Description: lncRNA (ENSSSCG00050021896.1)
Source: RNAcentral
GCCUGACCAAACCAAAUUAUGACUUUUCGCUCCAGCAAUACCUGCCAUCUAUCCCUAGUCUCUGACUCUUUCAGAACUUUUGGAGAACAAAAGAAAGAGGAUAAUGGAGAAGAUCAUGAUGUGAAUUAUGUGAUCAUUGUGUGAAUCAGGAAAGACAAUAUGAAAAUAAAUAGAGCUGGACAAGGAACCUGAAUCUUCAUCUUGAUUCUGCAAAAUAUUGAACAAAGUAAACUGCCAUAGCAAAUAAACCAUAAAAUAUAAGGGUGGCACAGAGUGAAAUCAAGAUGCUGGCUGGGCUGUAUUAUCAUAUGGAGUUAGCAUCCUCUUCUACGUUCCUUCAGGCCCUUGGCAAAAUUCAGCUUCUUGCAGCUGUAUCUCUAAGUCUUUUCACAAUGAAGUCUUGGCAGACAAAGGCCUUAAUCAUCACUCUCUGCAACUUGGAGAUUUUUGUCUGUUGGAAAAG